UCCGGUUAGUUCAAGUAUUGGAAAUUGGUUCUAGAGGGUCUCGGGUGACCUCACAUCGCCCCAGGCUGGGGAGGCAGAGCCAGGGCGAGGCCCGUAAGCGCUCUGCGCUCCUGGAAAGUAUCGAAAGCCCAGCUAGGGCGCAGAAACGAUGGGGACCGAGGGCAGGUUGUCGGUCACGUGACUCGAUCCAGACCGAGAGGUGUGUCUCACUGCUACACACACGCGCACACGCACACGCACAUACAUCACCGCCUCCAGGUUUUACUCAGACUGCUCCAGUGACUUGCCCAUAUCAGACCUUCAAAGUUCAUCCAAGUUUAUCUUUACCUCCCGUUUGCCUUGUGAACUGGGAAGAGAAGGUGUUUUCCACAACCUGGAGACUCCCCAACCUGGCGACAGUCAGUAAAUGCUGGUAACUGAUGGACUCACCACCUAGUCCGCAGGAGGGACCUGAGGGUAGAGGCUGAGGAAGCGGGCAGAGCUGAGUUCUGCCGUCCCCCACAAAGCCCCACUGAGGUCUCCCCCCAUCGUAUCUUCCCUGGGUACACACCCCCUCUCCCACUGCCGCUGGGCUGAGCAGAACCUCUCCGACCACAGUGAAGGUGUUUUUAUGCAUCCAAUAAAUCUAUCCUAGGAGCAAUCAGGUCUCCUUUUCCCUGUUGCCUAGGAGACCUAACUUCGUGAGGCUGCUCUUCAGUUGUGCCAGGCACUCUGGUCACUAAAGAGAAGGAAGCUAUUUCCUGUCCGCAAUAUUUGUUUGUUAAAGAGACCUGGAACUAGAGAGUAAAAAUAACAACGGCCCAAAAUCACUAAUCAUUACAGAAAUUCCGAGUAAAACACAAUGAACUGCCACUUUUUAAUCCAUUGCAUUGAUACAGAUUUUUAAAAAUCUAUUAAGAGAAAUUAUCCAAAAUCUGAAAAUAAGACCAAAAGGAUGGCGCUCCUUUCAACCUCGUAUUGAAGCGUUGUUUAAAAGCCCAAGGAUUACUUACUUUUCUAGGAGAAGUUUCUGUUGUUUGAUGUUGCUGUUUACUAUUAAUGAAAAGCUGAGUCUCUAUAAGGUUAUGUACCAACUUGUAGAUUUGUGCCUGGUAGAGAUGCAAAUAAUCUUUGCCCCAAAGAAAAGAUAACUUCAAAGGUUAUAAUUAUUUCCCUGUAGGACAUCAACCAUGUUUAUAUCUAGCCUAGCAAUCUUAUUUUAAUGUAGGUUAAGGACUCUGUAAAGCCAUUUCCCCAAAUGGUCUUUGAAUCAGCUUUUUCAUCUUACAAAUGUCCUCAUUAGUUAAUGAGGUGAGUAAACUUUUGGCCCACGUGCAUGCCAUAUUUGUAGAAAGAUUUGAGAGUCGUAUUUAACUUUGGAAAAUUAUACUUGGGGAAGUCUGACAAGAACAGGAAUUUUUGCCGGCUUAUGGAGAGACACAUACCCUCGUGCACUGAUUCGGGGCGUCCGGGUUGGAAAAAGCUCUUCGGAAGGCAAUUUGGCCGUUGUUGGUGAAACUGAAAGUGCACAGCAAUUCCUCUUGUGACCCAACAAUUCCUCUUCUAGGAGUAAGUCCCGAGAAACAUUUCCACACAGGCACUUAGAGAAAUGCGCAGUGUUUGCCACGGUGAGAAAGUGGAAAGGACUUCAGUGGUCAUCAAAAGUGGAAUGGAAUAUAGACUGGAUGAACAACAAGGUCCUAGUGUGUAGCACGGGGAACUAUAUUCAAUAUCCUGGGAUAAACCGUAAUGGAAAAGAAUAGAAAAAAGAAUGUAUAUGUGUGUGUAUAACUGAGUCACUUUGCUGUACUGCAGAAAUUAACAUUGUAACUCAACUAUACUUCAAUUAAAAAAUACUUUAAAAAAGUGGAAUGAAUAAAUUAGUGGCACAUACAUGUGAUAGAAUACUCUACAGCCACAGAAGAUGAAUCAGUCCUAAAAGUGUGGAUAGAUCUCAAAAACAAAAUGUCAGUGGGAAAAAACUGUCAAUGAAAAUGACUAUGGGUACAGCACAGUUAUAUGGACGUAUAUGACAAAACAAUACUAAAGGGAAAGAUACCUGCCACAUCCUUCAAGGUGCCUAUGGGGUAGUGAACAAAGUCAAGAUGGGAAGGUGUCAGCAGGGACUUUUGCUGUAUCUGUAGUGUUCUUGUGUACAUUUCUGAAUUAAGAUGCACGUAUUACUUGUGUAACGUUUUAAAGGGGUAUCUCGGCACUGCGGGAGUUUGGAAGUAAAGAGCCAGAGUGUGCCCAGUGCUUGACUCUGGGAAGUGGGAUUAGGUCCUAGUGAGCUUUUCUUCUCAGGCUUUUUCUGUUACUUAAAUAUUAGAUGAUGACGAUGAUGAGAGAAUCUCUGACGUAAGUACUAGAACUUCUAGUCCAGCCCAGCCACCAAGUCCAGUGUAUCAUCUCACACGGCGCACCUGAACUCUCUUUGCCUGGAUUUGCCUCUCCAUGUAUCAGGAAUUGAACACAAAAAAUAUAAGAAGUCCAUGUCUGCUGUGAGGACAAAUAAAAUGAUAGAGGGCAGGCAGGGUGCUGGUACACCUCUGAGAACCUGUGUUGCGUAAACGUCAGGAACAGACACAGAAAAGACGAGUGGUUUCAGGUUGUAAAUCGGGCUGACUGGGUAGCCUGGUGCCUGAGGCUACAUAAUACAAUGUGAAACCGGGGAACAAAGCUCUCUGGGUCACCUGCCUGUCUGCCAAGGUGGGUAGAAUUACAAAGGUGUGUCCGAGGAGGAGCCCUGGUUGUAGGCAAGCGCUUGGGAAACCAGAUACUUUAAUCUGAUUCUUGAGAGUAACAAAUGGGAAUAAAAGAAAGACUUCAUGAAAUUCAAGGCCUUUACUUGGAAGGGAUGAUCAUUUUUCUGUUUACUUUUCUCCUGUGGCUGUUUUGUUUGGGCUUAGGUUGUUUUGUAAGUUCUGUCCUUGCUCCCUAACACUCACAGUUAAGAAAAGAAAGAGCAAAGGUUGGUGGUCACUCCAGGUCACCCUCCGUGUCCCCCUCGUUCUGCAUCAGAAAACAUGGUAGGGAGCUGGGGGCUCAAGCCAGGAGGUUAGACGGGGCUGGGGAGGCGUUCCUGGCCGCAGCGGGGCCUUAACCACACCUGUUCCACAACUCGUAACCACCCCACCCCCAUGCCACCGCCACCAUAUGCAAAGUUGGAGCUAGAGUGUCUUUUCCAUCACUGCCUGUGCUUGUGAUGAGUUGGGUAAACUAGUUACAGGGGCACCGUGAUUUUUAAAAAAGUUUUAUUGGAAUAUAGUUGACUUACAGUGUUGUGUUAGUUUCUGCCGUACAGCAAAGUCACUCAGUUAUACAUAUACACACAUCCACUCUUGUUUAGGUUCUUUUCCCAUAUAGGUCAUUACACAGUGUUGGGUAGAGUUUCCUGUGCUCUUCAAUAGGUCCUUAUUAGUUAUCUGUUUUAUAUAUAGCAGUGUGUAUAUGUCAAUCCCAGUCUCCCAGUUUAUCUCCCCCGGCACCGUAACCAUGAGUUUGUCUUCUACAUCUGUGACUCUGUUUCUCUUUUGCAAAUAAGUUCAUUUGUACCAUUUUUUAAGAUUCCACAUAUAAGCAGUAUCAUACAUUUGUCUUUCUCUGUCUGACUUACACCACUCAGUAGGACAAUCUCUAAGUCCAUCCAUGUCGCUACAAAAGGCAUUAGUUCGUUCCUUUUAAUGGCUGAGGAAUAAUUCACUUUGAGUUCCUCCCACGGGAGGCGGGGCAGUGAAGGCCCUGCAAACAUAGCUCUCCUUCCUCCCUCAUCAAAUGAAAAGCAGUGGUGAGGCCUCAGCGCUGUGAAUGCUUUCGGCACAGUGGCUGGUCUGACGCUCAUGUCAGCCCUCAGGGGUAGGGAGGAGAGCUGCCCCUGCAGGUGAGGAAACUGGGACUCCCAAAGGGGCUGAAGUGCUCCUGGACCCACGGCUGGCCGCAGACCGAGGCCUCCCAGCUGACCCCACAGGCUCCUCCGGCUGUGGUCCAGCCGCUCUGGCUUCCUCCGCUGGCUCCAGAGAAUCUCCUAUGCGGACGGUGGGUGUCAGGCUCGCGGGCCUAGUGGGCCUUACCUGCCCCCAUGCCCCCCUGGACUGAGGAGUCCCACAUCCUUUAGAACAGUGAUUCUCAAGCCCUAAUAGGCCUGCGAAUCCCCUGGGAGCUUGUGAAAAAGCAGAUCCUGAUUCAGUGGGUGGGGCCUGAGAGUCUGCAUUUCUGACAAGUUCCCAGGAGGCCCCGGAGCUCAUUUUCUGCAGAGGCCGCUCUGAGUAGCAAGGUUGAUUCUAGCUUCAACCAGACAAAGCAAGUCUGGUGUCGGGCAACCCGUUGUACCGUCUCACGGUGUCCUCACCGUUCAUGAUUGUAACUAAGCGUUAAUUAUGUUUUCCUGGCUGGAAUGUCAUCCCCACGAGGACAGGGACAAUGACCGUCUCCUUCAUACUGGUACAUACUGGUACAUACUGGUACAUACUGGUACACCCAGUGCCUAACACAGUGCCUGGCACGUGAUAGAUGCUCACUAAAUAUCUGCUGAAUGAAUAAAGUGAGUGAGGGAAACGAAUGACUGGGCCACCAAAACGACGCCGUCCCCCGAUUCCCAGCAAUGAGACAUUUGGGGGGGUUCAUAGUCUUAUCAUCAAAUCCGUAUUUUCCUGGAGACCCAAAUUCCAUGCAUCAAGCCAUCUAAAAGGGGUUCAUGGUGAUCAUCUCUUCGGAAUGGGAUCACAGACUUCUUAUUUUCCUUUGUGCACUUUCCAUGUUUUCCAAAUUUAAUGCAAUAGGCGAGCAUUACUGCAGUAAUUCAAAGGAAAUUUAAAGUUCAUCUAAGCAGAUUCUCUCUUGGUCACUUCUGCUUUAUCACCACAGACGCUGAGCUGGCUGUACUGUAAUCAGUCACUGUGUUCAGUGUCUCCGUUUCCAGACUAUAAAGUAAGGUUGGGCUGGAGAUGACCACUGCGCCUCACUGGGAGGUGAAUUCUCUCUGAAUUUGUCUUUUCGUCCAUGUAUUCCUUCUCAUCCCUGUUACUUGCAAGGAAUCCUAAUCUCAUAUCCACUGACCUCACCUCUGUGGGUUCUUGCCACCCGGAAUACCGUUCCACGAUACCCCUUUUCUGAGGACGGAAUUUGUUGCUUAAGUCCUGAGUAACAGACUUCCCCGCUGCAGCUGAGGUGUUUACAUAAACUUAAGUCACCAUUUUUUAACGUGAUGCUGAGAAAACUCAAUGAAAACCCAAGACUGUUUAAGACUAUCUGUCUUAGUCACAGCAUGAAAUAAUCCUGUUGGGAAGGGCUGCUGGAGUUUUACACUUCUCAGUGUAAAAUUUUUUUUACAUUUACAUACUGUAAAACAUUACGUUACAGUAAAUAAUGAUCAAUUAACUGUAGUGAAUGUUGGUUGUAAAGUUAUUCGUGCUCCUGGGGGUAGAGAUGUUGUCCUGGAUAUAUCUGCAUUGGUUGCAUCACACAACCCAGACUCUAGACUGGUACCCUGGGCACAUUUCAUUCUAUGAGUGAAUGAAAAGGAGACGGAGGUACUUCCAGCUUGUUCAAGAAAUCAAGGGGGGAGGUUUGGGUCGAUGUUCACAUCCUUUGACAUCCGAUCAUAUCUAUAUGCCCCAGCCUCCCGUCAGUUUUGUGCAGCUUCCGUAUCCACUCACACCAUCGGCCACUUAGCACGAGGUGAGAGAGAAUCCCUAGGUAAGAAGACCAGGGCUGAAUCCCACUGCCCCUCACUUUAUGCAGAUGUUUCUGAAAAGAUGUGGACUAAGUGCGUGUCUAUAAAUUUCAUUGAAAGGAGCAGAAAUUUGUAAAGGGAGGAUGUAUGUGGCCACUCAGUCUCACCCACAUCGAGGGGCUUGAUUUGUCCCCAACGGCGUUACUGAGUAGCAAGGACCUACUUUGGGGGGAAAUUAUAUGAUUUGGGCCAUUUAAGAAAGGAAAUAUGGGGCAGUUCUGGGGCUCAGCAGGUGUUUGGAGAGGCGGGCAUCCUGUCCACAGCAGAGGGCAGGCAGGGGUCCAUGAGGCUCCUGAGCCGGUGAGGACAGAACGAGCAGCUCCUGACCACCGGCAAUCGCAUGGGCGUGGCUUCCACGGGGCGGGGUGUGCCGGCAGCCAUUUGUCCUCCGGAUUCCGGAUUCCCACUUCACUUCGCACCCACCUUCCGGAGCAUCCCUGCUGCCACGCUCCCGGCCACACCCCCAGGUGACAGCCUCUUCCUUUCCCCUCUUUCCAAGGCAUAAACUCUUUCUCCUGCCCCACUGUGUCCUUCCUUUUGGAAUCUCAAGAGCAUCCUUCUGGGGCGGGAGACCCUUGUUUCUCUUCGCCUUUUUGACACGACAAUUCGAGUUCUUCCUGAGUGUGAGUCUAAGGAAAUGAGAGGAGAUGUCCAUCAAGAUCAUGUUUGAAGUUAUCAUACACAGGAGUCACGGGGUCACAGGUGACCCUCCUUUCUUUUUCUUUUUUUCUUCCUUUGCGGUACGCGGGCCCCUCACUUCUGUGGCCUCUCCCGUUGCGGAGCACAGGCUCCGGACGCGCAGGCUCAGCGGCCACGGCUCACGGGCCCAGCCGCUCCGCGGCAUGUGGGAUCUUCCCGGACCGGGGCACGAACCCGUGUCCCCUGCAUCGGCAGGCGGACUCUCAACCACUGCGCCACCAGGGAAACCCAACCCUCCUUUCUAAGGCUGAUACCCACAUCCUGAUUUCCUCUUUGGCUUUUGUGGACAUUUGUAUUUUCAUUCCCAGAUGGGCGCAGUGCAGGCAAGGCCAUGUUCAUAGAGCCUCUGAGUUUAGUCUCUUCUCUCUGACUCUCUGAUCCGCCUGGAUGUUGACUUCCACGUGGCAGCCCGAGUGACUUCACUCGGUUGUCUGCACAUCCCAAGUAUUUCAGCUAAUUGUCAACUUUCUGCUGUCCGUUAUCUCGGGACUGUGAGUACCUCACUGAUGGGGCUUAAACAGGCACAAAGCACUCAGUGAACUGAAACCAGAAUAAAGGCUCAGGGCAACGGCACAGAUGCCCAUGCCGUGGUUCAAGGAGUUGACUUUUACAGAAGUAAGUACAUUUGUAUUCGUUGUUAUGGUGAAUUGUUCUGACCCUCACCCAGACAGGAAAAUAAUGGAAGUUUCUUUUCCCAAGUGCUCCUGAACGCAAACAUUCCAGAUGACCUGGCCUCAGCUGGCCCAGAGCAGAAGUCGUAAGAUUGAAGAAAUAAGUAAAUAAAUUUUUAAAGAGAUGGAGGGACCACUGCUUUCCGAAAACAUCCGAUUCGGGCCAGUGAUUGAAGAUGAGCUCAGGACGUGUGGAACGUUUGCUUCCUCCUUAGUUAAAAUUGUUUAAGUUGCUUCUAUUGACCCUCUAAGCGAGAAGAGAGUGUGUGUGUGGAACGUUCAUGCUUGAGGGACUUUCUCUCCUCCAUCGCCUCCCCAGAUAUAUAUAUAUAUAUAUAUAUAUAUAUAUAUAUAUAUACACACAUAUAUUCUAGAAAACCAGUGCUAGUCUGAUGUCCAACUCUGGGCAGAGCGCAGUUUAGAAGGUAAGCAAUUGCAGACGCUCUGUCAAGCUUUGCUCUUUGUUAAUAAUCUAUUUACAGGUCAGCACACCGGCACCUCCCUUGAGUCUGAUUAUACUCCUAACCCUCCAAGUUCAAUGUCAGCAGAUCCCGGUCUGACAUGUGCCGUUUGUUUGCAUCUUCAGUGCCGGGCGGGGGUCUUUCCCAGGUGCCUCCCCAGAGCCAGCCGUCCACGUUCUGCACAGCCAGGCAUCCUCUCAGGGGACAGCUCCGGAGCAGCCGCAUCUUUUCUUUAAGGAGCACAGAGACCUCGAGGUUGCUUUCUUUCUGCUUUGCAUCACUUCCCUGACCAAUACAGACACACUGUAUUUGCAUAACAUAGUUUUGGUCCGCAUGGGACCCCACCUCCAGCUUCCUGAAUAUGCAUUUUAUUCUGUGCGAUGUCUGAACGUUGCACCUCUAAUCUCAUCACCAGCCUGUGUACUUCCACUGAGUUAUUCUCCAGGCUUUAGAACCGCACCUCCAAUUUGUAAGCUGAGCUAACGAUUACAUUUUCAUCUCUGAAAGAUGUUAAAUGAAAGCAUGCUUUGUGGGGAGAAUAAAUGAAAGAUCUCAGCAUGAGUGGCCCCCAACCCCCAGCCCAACUUCUCUGCUUGCUCAGUGGAGGCUGGAGCAUAAACUCCCCUUUCUCUCGAACAUUCAUCUUCACCCAGAGAACCUUGCAGGAACUACGCUCUUAAUACAGCACUGUUUAGCCCCCUUCACUGAGACGCUUUCAUUUGAUCAGCCCAGAGAAUAACCAUUUCGCAGCCUUGGAGACAGAGUUCAGUGAUUGAAGCGUCAGCCGACGGAAACGGCGUGGGACCCCAGAUAGCUGGGAUCGAUGAAGAAACUGUCCAUCCCUAAAAGAAUAGGACAACAGACAGGUUGCAGUUGCAAAAACUACAAUCAGAAUUUAGCUGAGACAAUGGUCUGGAUAUCCUGAACUGACAUCCUGUAAGAAUUUCAAUGUAUUGAACGUAACUGGUAAAAUUUUGGAAGCUUAUGUGAGGAAUGAUUGUUAUUUUCUUCAUAAACUUGGAUUUAAAUGUCCGUAUUCUAAAGCUUUGUUGAUUUAACCAAUGGCCCAUUGCGGGCAUGAAUUACACAGUGUAAAACUAAGAUGAAAAAUCACGUAAAUGCUGUCAGGAGAGGCAGCGCGGCCUGCUGUUCUCAGCGAACCGGGUGACAAAGUCCCAUCCCUCCUCCACGGCCGCCACGGGGCCUCCCUCCUGAGUUCUCAGAGCUGCAAGCUGUCCAGUAGUAAAGGGGAAAUCUCUGAAUAGCUAUUUUGUUCAUUUAUGAUUUUAAAACGAAAGUAGCAGCAGGUGCUGUCAGCACCUUCAUGACUUGACCCUCUGGAACAGGUUCAGAGACGCUCCUGGGGACCCGGGAAGGGGUCGGGAGGCUCUGCGGCUCCUGGUACCUCAGCGAGGUUCUCAGUCCCAACCGCCCAUCUAAGUCAUCGGGGCAACUUUUAAAAGAUGGGUGCCCAGGCCCAGAGCAGCCCAUUAACCAGACUCUUUGGUGGAAGCUUCCAGUGUCAGGACCAAUCUCCGCAGGUGACUCCAACGUGUGGCUGUGAGCCAGCAGCCCAAGGGGAUGAAUCGGACACUGUGACAGGCUUAGCGGUGGAAGGAGUUUGGGGGCAAUUAGGCCUAAGGCCUGAAACCCCAUCAGGAUCCUGGCCUUCUCCCCGAUGCUCCGUGUCUUCAAGGAGUCCACAGCGGCGUGAGGAAAGCACACACACCCAAAAAAGCAUUCUGCCUGAAGGAUUUUGAAACUUGCCUGCAAGUCACUGUUAAAGAUGACACCUUUGCACACGCAGGUUUUGGAGGUCACGCCCACAUCACUGAGCACGCUGUCACCACCACCCCCGCCAGUACAGGGUGCUCCCCAGGUCCCGCUUGAGGACAGUGUCUUGUAGGAGAUGCCAGCUCCACCCACACACGUUCCUGAGCGCUGGCUCUGUGCCCGGCCUCACACUGACCCCUGACAACAUGCAGAUGAAGCUGUGGCCCUGCCCCAAGAACCUCCAUCCAGUCGGGGACAGAUGAGCAGAUCAGGGGUUACAGCCACUGUGCUGAGAGCCGAGACGGGGGUGCCGACAGCAUCCUCACCGCUGCCACCGUCCCAAAGGUGACAUGGGUGGGGAGCCAGCAUUUGAGCAAUUUCACCUUCUUUGUACAUUCAGAUAUAUUAUAUAGAAACCUAUAGAAUGCAUUAAAAUAUCUAGUUCGCA
Molecule: long non-coding RNA, 9762 nt
Organism: Orcinus orca (killer whale)
Lineage: Eukaryota; Metazoa; Chordata; Mammalia; Artiodactyla; Delphinidae
Exons: 3
Source: RefSeq, a predicted model, not a curated record